Acanthosepion pharaonis is the source of this 110-nucleotide non-coding RNA. NCBI's taxonomy places the organism in Eukaryota, Metazoa, Mollusca, Cephalopoda, Sepiida, Sepiidae. The record is from the annotation of a GenBank genome assembly.
AGCGAUGUCACGUUGAAACACCGGUUCUCGUCCGAUCACCGAAGUAAAGCAUUGUCGAACUUGGUCAGUAGUUAGAUGGGUGACCACUUGGGAAUAGCUUGUGCUGUAAG